CCACAACGACCAAAACCUGAAAUCCCAAAACGCAAAACGCAAACCCAAAUCAGAAACCCUAAAACCUCUAGCGACAGAUCCAAAACGCACUGCAAAAUCUUUGAAGCAGUAGCACUCAGCUUGAAUCUGGCUCCAAUGGAGGUCGGCAAGGUUUCAUGAUCUAGAAGUGGAGGACCACCUGAAGUUUGUCACCAAGUGGAUGCUUUCUCACAUUGAAGAUGUUGAGAAAGAACUUAAUAAAUCAGUCAUGUUCGCCGAAUUUGGCUUGGCAGACCAGCUUGAUAGAUUUUACAAAACUAUUUUUGAUGUCAUUUACAAACCUGCAAAGAAACACCAGGCUGGGGCAGGUGCUUUAGCGUGGCAGUUUUUGGUAGCAGGAAUGGACAAGUAUAAUGAUGAAUUUGGGAUUGUUCCAUGGGAAAGGCCAUCUACCUAUAUGUUUAGUGGGUGGGACACUAAUAGGACUGAUAAUAGUUCUCUUAUAGAUGGCAGCACUAGCUCUCUUGUAAUGAUUACUACUACAUAUGUGUUGAUAAUUUAUACAAUUCGUUUCAUUCCUUUACUAUA
Long non-coding RNA from Rosa rugosa (rugosa rose), 567 nucleotides. RefSeq lists it as uncharacterized. Lineage: Eukaryota; Viridiplantae; Streptophyta; Magnoliopsida; Rosales; Rosaceae. The transcript is spliced from 2 exons. The record is from RefSeq and is a predicted model, not a curated record.